UCUCCAGAAUAGCUCCAAGAAUUGCAACUUUUCUCCUAUUGCUUGAGGAUGAGGCAAUAGCAGAAAAUCAAAUAUUCCACAGGGAGCCUGGAAAUGAGACCCAUUUGCAGAGGCACAAAAUAGAACUACUUUUGUUGGAGUGUCUCUUGCAGAAGGGUCCACUUAUUAGGAUCAGAGAAAGGAUGAAUGGCUUUUGAGGGCAAUCAUUAUUUUAUGAUCAGCGACAUUUGUGAAAAUUAUGAGCAUAUUUUUGUGACAAAUUUGCAGGGACAAGGAUGUAUAUAGUACUUGAUUCAUUCUAAUUCCUUACAGGUGCAAAAGUAAUUGUAUAUAGAUGAUACUCUCUUAUGCUUAAAUAUUUUAUUAUUUUUUUAUAAUAUAAUUAUAAUAUGAUUGCAUGGCUA
This is a long non-coding RNA of Neltuma alba, 404 nucleotides long. RefSeq lists it as uncharacterized. Lineage: Eukaryota; Viridiplantae; Streptophyta; Magnoliopsida; Fabales; Fabaceae. The record is from RefSeq and is a predicted model, not a curated record. The transcript is spliced from 2 exons.